CACACACAUUUACCACACUUGGCUCGCAUAGACUGGAAGGAGAGGUGCUCUUCCCAAGCAAAGGGGCCGACCUGCAGAAAGCACACAGAGCCCACAUGCUGGAAGGAAAAAGCCACCUUCCAGCAUCCCUUGACCGCCACUCGUGUGCAUGGCAGAUGUCCUUCUGCAAUCUCACACAAGGCGAGUUGACUGAUAAGAGUUUUAAAGUCUCUCUGAGUCAUCUCCCCUCUGCAAGAUCGGCACCCAUAUCAUGAUGCAACUCCUAAGAACAGGUCCACAGGGACACAGUCCUGAACAGUGAAACGAGAAAGGCUCAGCAGGAACCCUUCACUGAGAACAUAUUCACCCAGGCGCAGUCACUGCCAGCCUGGCCUCAGAGGAGCAAAAGCCAGCAAAUGUAAACCCUGCUUCACGAGGUGGGACCUCUGGAUGCUGUCCCCUGCUUCCUGAAGUUGAGGACUGACUGUGUGCCACAGGCAGAGGGAGACUAGAUGCAGGUGACAUUUCUUAGAGAUGGCCCUGCUUUAACGGGACCUGUUCAGCAUGCCUUUCCUUCCUUUCUCUUCCUCCCUCUCUCUUUUCCAUCUUCUCUCCUUUGCUUCCCUUGUUCUUGAGAAAAGGGUCUUGCUAUGUAGCCCAGGCUGGUCUGGAACUUACUGUGUAGCUCAAGCUGGCCUUGAAAACUUUUGGCAAGCCUCCUGCCCCAGUUUCUCAUCCAGAUUUCCAGAAACAUCAACAAACCAAGGAAGAAGCAUUGGAGGAAAAAUCAACUCCAGUGUGUGGCUGUGUGUUGUGUCUAUGUGUCUAUGUGUGUUUGUGUG
This is a long non-coding RNA of Mus musculus (house mouse), 821 nucleotides long. RefSeq annotates it as predicted gene, 26962. The transcript is spliced from 4 exons. The record is from RefSeq and is a predicted model, not a curated record. NCBI's taxonomy places the organism in Eukaryota, Metazoa, Chordata, Mammalia, Rodentia, Muridae.